UUUUAGAUUUCUUUGUACCCAUUUCCAAUUCUAAAUGCAUUGUUUCAGGAUCGGAAGAGGAAGGUUUUUGUGCUGCAAUUCAAAUGGACAUCGAUCAGGUUCAGAAACAUACGCCUUACAUGACACACGGAUUACUGGAUUAGACAUAAACUAAAAUUAUUAUACUUUUCCUCGGCUCAUAUUUUUGUUUUUCAAGUGUAUCCCAGAUCGGAACAGGAAGGUUUUUGCACUGCAAUUCAAAUGAACAUUGAUCAGGUUAGUAAUUGGGUUAUCAUUAUCAUUUAUCUCCGAAAUAUGUUUUUAUUUCUCAAGUUUGUUGAGCAUGUAU
Long non-coding RNA from Lolium rigidum, 328 nucleotides. RefSeq lists it as uncharacterized. The record is from RefSeq and is a predicted model, not a curated record. Lineage: Eukaryota; Viridiplantae; Streptophyta; Magnoliopsida; Poales; Poaceae. The transcript is spliced from 3 exons.